This 87-nucleotide transfer RNA is filed under the name Vaginularia trichoidea. RNAcentral's name for it is "tRNA-Ser". It matches the Rfam family "tRNA". From Rfam's summary of the family: Transfer RNA (tRNA) molecules are approximately 80 nucleotides in length. Their secondary structure includes four short double-helical elements and three loops (D, anti-codon, and T loops). The record is from RNAcentral. Lineage: Eukaryota; Viridiplantae; Streptophyta; Polypodiopsida; Polypodiales; Pteridaceae.
GGAAAGGUGGCCGAGUGGUUUAAGGUAUAGCAUUGGAAAUGCUAUGUAGAUUCAUAACUACCGAGGGUUCGAAUCCCUCCCUUUCCC